GAUGAAGAACGUAGCGAAAUGCGAUAAGUAAUGUGAAUUGCAGAAUUCAGUGAAUCAUCGAAUCUUUGAACGCACCUUGCGCCCUUUGGCCAUUCCGAAGGGCAUGCCUGUUUGAGUAUCAUGAACACCUCGACUCUUCAUGGUUUUCCGUGAUGAGCUUGGACUUUGGGGGUCUUGCUGGCCUAUGGUCAGCUCCUCUAAAAUAAAUCAGCUUGCCAGUGUUUGGUGGGUAUCACAGGUGUGAUAACUAUCUACGCUUGUGGUUUUCCACCAGGUAACCUUCAGCAGUGGAGGUUCGCUGGAGCUCACAGAUGUGUCUCUCCUCAGUGAGGACAGCUCUUUGAAUGUUUGAUCUCAAAUCAGGUAGGACUACCCGCUGAACUUAAGCAUAUCAAUAAGCGGAGGA
This 406-nucleotide unclassified non-coding RNA is filed under the name soil metagenome. Its description in RNAcentral is "partial contains 5.8S ribosomal RNA, internal transcribed spacer 2, and large subunit ribosomal RNA". The stretch from base 1 to 121 matches the Rfam family "5.8S ribosomal RNA", at positions 35 to 154 of the family's 154-position model. The record is from RNAcentral.